Molecule: non-coding RNA, 2659 nt
Organism: Equus caballus (horse)
Lineage: Eukaryota; Metazoa; Chordata; Mammalia; Perissodactyla; Equidae
Source: RefSeq, a predicted model, not a curated record
AGGUGGAGAUCUGUCAUCAGCAUAUGUCAGAAAUGUGGGAUAUUAUAUGUAAUGAGUGACAUUUGAGAAUAUAUAUUGGACAAUAAUGGCAUGUGUGGGAGCUAAGAUAUAAUAUUUUUAAAUUCCUAGGAAUUCAGCUCAAGCUGUCAACAUCUAUUAGAUGAGAAAAUGAGUCAGUACAGUAAUGAUGACUGAAAGUACUCCUCUUCAUCAAGUCAAAGGAAGACACCCUGUGAGACUGGCCUAUCGUUCAGCAGUGCUCUGAGGUUUCCUUCCUAGUUUCAGAAAUGCAAAUGAGAGUGGCACUGAUGUCUCCAGGCUUUGAAGAGCAGAGACUGCCUAUUGUGCUGUGGUGUGUGGCUCAGGGCAGACAGAGAGCGUACAGAGUGACGCAUUCUCAAGAGCAAGUUCCAGUUUAGCACAGAAGAAAACCUGGACUGUUUCUGUGUGUGAAGAUUUUAUGUCAACUUGGUCAUCAGUUUAGAAAUAUAUUUGAAGCAGAGAAAUAGGGUGAUCAAUAAAAUAUUUUCAAGCAUAAUACAAUAUUACAUCAGGAUAAAAUUACGUGAGGAAAGUAGACUGGAAAAACUUCACAGAAAGAAAAAGUGUUCAGCCGUCAAAGGCUGCACCCAGUUUUGCCCUAAAAUUGAUUCGAAACAGCAGCCAGAAAAUAUACCCAUGGAAAGUGUAUUCUGUGCCAACCCAGCCUUCCUACAAAGCAAGCAAUCUCUUUGCUCCUGCAAUUUGCAUGGCCAUACCAUACACAGCCUGCUGUCCAUGCUGGUGCACUUUCCAUUGACACUCUUACAAGGUAAUUCUUUAUUUUCCUGAAACAACCAAGACGGGGGUCAGAAGAGCAGUCAAAACGUCAGAUUUGUCUCUGUCUUUUUAUGUUCUAUCUGCAAAGAGUUUUCUUAAAAGUGUCGCUGUGAACACAUUCACUUCCCCAGUCUAGUUGAAGGUUUCAGAAGACCCUGAUUGCUUCAGAGAAAAUGCAGACAUACAGACAAUGCAGACAAGAAGAUCCAAAGCUCCGUCAUCACGCCACGGCGCCAUAUUUUACAACUAUAUUUCCGUAUCCUACAUCGCACCCAGCACGAUGCCUAGCACCCAGCAGAUGUUCAACUACUAUUCUUGAAAGUAUAAAUGCAUUUCACCCAUUUUUACCUUCAUCCCACUGCUUCACUUGCAAAAUAAAGCAUUUGGCACUAUUACCCUUCUCAGAUAAUACGUUAACGUGAGACUGGAGAACGGGAAGGAAGAGGAGAAAAAAAGGAGGGAAAAAAAGAUAAUAGAAGAUGAGAGAAUGGAUGGCAGCUGAGGAAACGGGAGAGAGGCAAGAGGUUCCAGAUUCCAGGCAGCCUCCCUCUUGCCUCCUGAUUCCUCUCUCAUCUCAAAGAAAAAGGCAUCCUACUUCUGUUUUUAAAUCUUCACCAGAAGCCUGGUCACCAAUGUCCUACAAAACAGCUAAGAGCGUUUUAACCCAUUUCCGGUGGAGCUAUGUGAUGAUCCUUUGCCGUGUAAGCGUGAGGCCCUUGGACUAACGGAUGACUCUCUCAGGGAAGCUUCCGCUGACCAGCUCAUUAGGCCAAUCGUCACGUUAGAAGCCUGACUACCUUGCCACCACCGUGAUGUGAAGAAGCCCACACGAUCUACUUAUGGAGGGAGAGGCCAAGUGGAGAAGCACCACAGCAAUCAAACACGUGAGUGGAGAUUUCUUGGACCUUCAGCCUCACUCAGCCCAGUUGACCCAUGAGCUGAAUGCAGGCGAACAAAUGACUCCAGCCUAAGUGGAGCAGAAGAACCAUCUGGUCAAGCUCAACCUGAAUCCCUGACUAACAGAUCGCUAGCAAAUAAUUUGAAUACACCACACAGAUUCUGAUUCCUACAGUUGACUUUUUUCCACUCAUGGUGCAGGGAGAUGGCAGGCUGUCUUAUCACUUCCCUAGUCUAGUGGGUACAAGUUCAUCUUUCAUUGGGGUCCUUUUGUGUCAGAUCAGUUCACUACGACUGGAAAUGUAUCCUCACUCAUUAGGACCCAGCUCAGUUCUUAGGUCCUCUGAUGCAAAUUUCUCUGAUCAUCAUGAGGAAGAAUGAAUAAGUAUUUCCUCUCUCCUGCUACCCCUCUAUUCACAACAUGUAAUGGUUUCCAAUUUUUUUGUGAAAUGAGAUUUUACCUUUUAGUUUAAGAUACUUUUAUCUAAGGAAAAUUCUGCCUUUGCUAUCUCACUGGUCCUCUUCACAUAUGUGUGUCUCAGUCACACUGAACUACUUCCUCCUCCUGUACAUACCCCACUCCACACUCAGUCAGCAGGGUUUUGCUCACAUUGUCCUCUUCGUAUGAAUCACCCAAGCCUCUGGUGCCCAUAUUUAGAUCUAACCAAUAUUUCUGGCCCUGCUAAAGUCUUCUUCUGCCAUAAAGCCUUUUUUGAUAGCUCAACUGUAAUCUCUCUUUCCCUUGAAGACCAAUAUUUUUAGCCUGUAAGUGUCUUGUGACUUUUACCUUCUCAAGACUUUAAAGCAUAGUGGUAUAGAGCAGAAGCUAGCAAAUUACAGCUUGCCAGACAUCCAGCCCAAUGCCUAUUUUCUUUUUUUUUUGCUUGAGGAAGAUUAGCUUUGAGUUAACAUCCAUGCCAGUUCUCCUCUAUUUUGUAUAUGG